This is a non-coding RNA of Methylothermaceae bacteria B42, 73 nucleotides long. The record is from Rfam. Lineage: Bacteria; Pseudomonadati; Pseudomonadota; Gammaproteobacteria; Methylococcales; Methylothermaceae.
GGGGCCAUAGCUCAGCUGGGAGAGCGCUACAAUGGCAUUGUAGAGGUCGCCGGUUCGAUCCCGGCUGGCUCCA